UACGGGAGGGUGCAAGCGUUAUCCGGAUUCGACUGGGUUUAAAGGGUGCGUAGGUGGGCAGGUAAGUCCGUGGUGAAAUCGUCUGAGCUUAACUCAGAAACUGCCGUGGAUACUAUCUGUCUUGAAUAUUGGUGGAGGUAAGCGGAAUAAUGUCAUGUAGCGGUGAAAUGCUUAGAUAUGACAUAGAACACCAAUUGCGAAAGGCAGCUUACUACGACAGUAAUUGACGCUGAGGCACGAAAGCGUGGGGAUCAAAACAGG
Molecule: ribosomal RNA, 261 nt
Filed under: uncultured bacterium
Lineage: Bacteria
Description: partial 16S ribosomal RNA
Rfam family: Bacterial small subunit ribosomal RNA
Source: RNAcentral